CGUAGGCACAAAUGACACUGCAAGAAAGGACUUUGCAACCAUCUGCAGUGACUUCGAAGACCUUGGCAAGAAAGUGAAGGAACUGGGAGCACAAGUAGUUUUCUCAUCUAUCCUUCCUGUGGAUGGUCAUGGAAAAAGAAGAUGGGACAGGAUUCUUGAGGUGAACAAUUGGCUACGUCAAUGGUGCUAUCGGCAAGGAUUUGGAUUUCUGAACCAUGGAGAAAACUACCUAUAUGAUGGACUCCUUGCGAGAGAUGGGCUGCACCUUACAAAGACAGGGAAGAAUGUAUUUGGCAAGCGCCUUGCUUCACUCAUCAGGAGAGCUUUAAACUAAAACAAAAGGGGAAGGGAAAUAAAAAGUCAAAGAAAAAUACUCAGUCAAUCAAUACAGGCGAUANUCUUGCUACCAGAAGUAGAAGUAAAGAACAAAAGCAAAAGGUUUGUAAGGAGAGUGGAGGAGUCAAGCUUGUAAGAGGUAUCAGUCACAAACUAAAAUGCUUCUACACCAAUGCACAGAGUAUGAGAAAUAAAAAAGGAGAACUGGAGAUCCUAACACAGGAAGAUAAAUAUGAUGUCAUAGGCAUUACGGAAACCUGGUGGGAUAACGCACAUGAAUGGAACACGGAUAUCGAAGGCUACAACUUAUUUUUGCGAAACAGACUUAACAAAAGAGGAGGGGGUAUUGCACUGUAUGUUAAAAAAGCAUUUGUCUCCUCAGAGAUUCAGGUUUCAGAGAAUGGAAGCCCGGUAGAAUCUGUCUGGGUAAGAAUUCAAGGAGAGAACAACAGAAAGGACACCAUUGUAGGAGUUUAUUACAGGCCCCCUGGACAAACAGAAGAUAUGGAUGCUCUCUUUCUAGAUCAGAUGGCUAAACUCUCAAGAAAGCAUGACAUAGUGCUUAUGGGAGAUUUUAACUAUCCAGACAUUUGUUGGGAAUCCCUCUCAGGCAAAAGUCACAAGUCUAAUAAGUUCUUAUCCUCUCUUGCUGACAACUUCAUCUACCAAAAGGUGGAGGAGAAAACAAGAGGACUGGCUAUCCUCGAUCUAAUUCUUACCAACAGAGAGGAAAUGGUUGAGGAAAUCAGAGUUUCUGGGACCUUAGGAGGCAGUGACCAUGCUAUCCUUAAAUUCUGGAUAAUAAGGGAAGGAAAGCCUGAGAGGACUCAGACUUCAAAGUUGGACUUCAGGCGGGCGGAUUUUGAUGGACUCAGAAGGAGGGUAGGAAGGAUAAAAUGGUUGAAUGUACUAAAGGAUAGAAAUGUCCAAGAAGGAUGGGAUACUUUGCGAAAUGCAAUACUAGAAGCACAGUCUUUAACAAUUCCUCAAAGAAAGAAGAACGGGAAGCAUCUAAAGAGACCAGGGUGGAUAAACCCAAAACUUAAAAACUUGCUAAAGAGGAAAAAAGAAAUGUUCAAGAAAUGGAAGGAGGGGUAUAUAUCUAAAGAAGAAUAUAAUGUAGUCUGCACAAACUGCAGGGCAAGUAUCAGAAAAGCUAAAGCUAGAAAUGAAUUGAGGCUUGCAAGAGAGACUAAAAACAAUAAAAAAGGGUUUUGGGGAUAUGUCAAAAGCAAAAGAAAAGUUAAAG
This 1585-nucleotide long non-coding RNA is filed under the name Salvator merianae (Argentine black and white tegu). RNAcentral's name for it is "lncRNA (ENSSMRG00000005797.1)". Lineage: Eukaryota; Metazoa; Chordata; Lepidosauria; Squamata; Teiidae. The record is from RNAcentral.